UGCAGUCGACGGUACAGGAGCAGCUUGCUGCUUCGCUGACGAGUGGCGGACGGGUGAGUAUGUCUGGGAACUGCCUGAUGGAGGGGGAUAACUACUGGAACGGUAGCUAAUACCGCAUAACGUCGCAAGACCAAAGAGGGGGACCUUCGGGCCUCUUGCCAUCUGAUGUGCCCAGAUGGGAUUAGCUAGUAGGUGGGGUAACGGCUCACCUAGGCGACGAUCCCUAGCUGGUCUGAGAGGAUGACCAGCCACACUGGAACUGAGACACGGUCCAGACUCCUACGGGAGGCAGCAGUGGGGAAUAUUGCACAAUGGGCGCAAGCCUGAUGCAGCCAUGCCGCGUGUAUGAAGAAGGCCUUCGGGUUGUAAAGUACUUUAGCGGGGAGGAAGGGAGUAAAGUUAAUACCUUUGCUCAUUGACGUUACCC
This 427-nucleotide ribosomal RNA is filed under the name Escherichia coli. RNAcentral describes it as "bacterial SSU rRNA". It matches the Rfam family "Bacterial small subunit ribosomal RNA", at positions 56 to 480 of the family's 1533-position model. Lineage: Bacteria; Pseudomonadati; Pseudomonadota; Gammaproteobacteria; Enterobacterales; Enterobacteriaceae. The record is from RNAcentral.